RNAcentral lists this ribosomal RNA (440 nucleotides) under uncultured bacterium. RNAcentral describes it as "partial 16S ribosomal RNA". It matches the Rfam family "Bacterial small subunit ribosomal RNA", at positions 338 to 795 of the family's 1533-position model. The record is from RNAcentral.
CCUACGGGAGGCAGCAGUGGGGAAUAUUGCACAAUGGGGGAAACCCUGAUGCAGCGACGCCGCGUGAGUGAAGAAGUAUCUCGGUAUGUAAAGCUCUAUCAGCAGGGAAGAAAAUGACGGUACCUGAGUAAGAAGCCCCGGCUAACUACGUGCCAGCAGCCGCGGUAAUACGUAGGGGGCAAGCGUUAUCCGGAUUUAUUGGGUGUAAAGGGAGCGUAGACGGCAUGUUAAGUCUGCAGUGAAAUGCGGUGGCUCAACCACGGCACUGCGGCGGAAACUGUCCGGCUUGAGUGCAGGUGCGGUAUGCGGAAUGCGUGGUGUAGCGGUGAAAUGCGUAGAUAUCAGGAAGAACACCGGUUGCGAAGGCAGCUUACGGGACUGCUACUGACGUUGAGGCUCGAAAGCGUGGGGAGCGAACAGGAUUAGAUACCCCUGUAGUC